CCAAACUUGGUCAUUUAGAGGAAGUAAAAGUCGUAACAAGGUUUCCGUAGGUGAACCUGCGGAAGGAUCAUUAUUGAAUAAACUUGGUGAGUUGUAGCUGGCUCCUUGGAGCAUGUGCACACUCAUCAUCUUUAUAUCUAUCCACCUGUGCACAUUUUGUAGUCUUAAAGAGUUAAGGAGUGUGUGUAUGUAGCAGAACUUGUUCUGUGAUCAUCAUCAUUGCUCUCUCUUUGAGUCUAUGUGUUUUCAUAUACCACGUAGUCUGUCGCAGAAUGUAUUUGAAUGGGCCUAUGUGCCUAUACAAAAAACUAUAUACAACUUUCAGCAACGGAUCUCUUGGCUCUCGCAUCGAUGAAGAACGCAGC
This 365-nucleotide unclassified non-coding RNA is filed under the name uncultured fungus. Its description in RNAcentral is "partial contains small subunit ribosomal RNA, internal transcribed spacer 1, and 5.8S ribosomal RNA". The stretch from base 1 to 73 matches the Rfam family "Eukaryotic small subunit ribosomal RNA", at positions 1759 to 1831 of the family's 1831-position model. The record is from RNAcentral. Lineage: Eukaryota; Fungi.